RNAcentral lists this unclassified non-coding RNA (327 nucleotides) under Hevea brasiliensis (rubber tree). Lineage: Eukaryota; Viridiplantae; Streptophyta; Magnoliopsida; Malpighiales; Euphorbiaceae. The record is from RNAcentral.
GUCCUAGUGCCGGUCCGACCCAUAAGUUGGGUCGUGACAGUUAUAUAUAAGCUAACGAAAAAUUCCCACUAUAAAAGUCAAUCUGAAUUCUUUGUCACAUCAACCCACCGUUCCCAAGUCCCAUUUGUUUCAAGUGACCUUGAAUUUGGUUGCCCAUCGUCCAAACACAAUCAUGCAGUAGAAAAGAAUAGCUGUUUUCAGUAUCAUUACUUAAUUUAGUCACUGGUUUAUACACAAGUUUUCUCAUAAUAAUUAUUAAAAAAAAAGUACCUAAAAUACCAGCAAUCUUCUAUAUUGGGGAAAGAAAGAUAUCAUUGACAGAAAUUU